AGCUUGCACGCCGGGCUCCCGCAAGUACGACGGCUGCAACUGGUGCACGUGCUCCAGUGGCGGCGCCUGGAUCUGCACGCUCAAGUACUGCCCGCCCUCCAGCGGUGGUGGUCUUACAUUCGCGUGACCUGUAUCCCGUGGCCAGGUCGGCUGCCGCUGAAGACUUGACCGGGAGAAAUGGUCUGCUGCUUCAUAAAUGUUGAUAUUUGAAUGUAUGUGCUGCGAAUAUACUCAAAAUGGCUACGAAUAAAGCUUGAAAUACUCAA
Schistocerca piceifrons (Central American locust) is the source of this 266-nucleotide long non-coding RNA. RefSeq lists it as uncharacterized. The record is from RefSeq and is a predicted model, not a curated record. Lineage: Eukaryota; Metazoa; Arthropoda; Insecta; Orthoptera; Acrididae. The transcript is spliced from 2 exons.